UACGGAGGGGGCUAGCGUUGUUCGGAAUUACUGGGCGUAAAGCGCACGUAGGCGGAUUGUUAAGUCGGGGGUGAAAUCCCGGGGCUCAACCCCGGAACGGCCUUCGAUACUGGCAGUCUGGAGGAUGGAAGAGGCGAGUGGAAUUCCGAGUGUAGAGGUGAAAUUCGUAGAUAUUCGGAGGAACACCAGUGGCGAAGGCGGCUCGCUGGUCCAUUUCUGACGCUGAGGUGCGAAAGCGUGGGGAGCAAACAGG
Molecule: ribosomal RNA, 253 nt
Filed under: uncultured bacterium
Lineage: Bacteria
Description: partial 16S ribosomal RNA
Rfam family: Bacterial small subunit ribosomal RNA
Source: RNAcentral